GACGAACGCUGGCGGCGUGCCUAAUACAUGCAAGUUGAGCGCUGAAGGUUGGUACUUGUACCAACUGGAUGAGCAGCGAACGGGUGAGUAACGCGUGGGGAAUCUGCCUUUGAGCGGGGGACAACAUUUGGAAACGAAUGCUAAUACCGCAUAAAAACUUUAAACACAAGUUUUAAGUUUGAAAGAUGCAAUUGCAUCACUCAAAGAUGAUCCCGCGUUGUAUUAGCUAGUUGGUGAGGUAAAGGCUCACCAAGGCGAUGAUACAUAGCCGACCUGAGAGGGUGAUCGGCCACAUUGGGACUGAGACACGGCCCAAACUCCUACGGGAGGCAGCAGUAGGGAAUCUUCGGCAAUGGACGAAAGUCUGACCGAGCAACGCUGCGGGAGUGAAGAAGGUUUUCGGAUCGUAAAACUCUGUUGGUAGAGAAGAACGUUGGUGAGAGUGGAAAGCUCAUCAAGUGACGGUAACUACCCAGAAAGGGACGGCUAACUACGUG
RNAcentral lists this ribosomal RNA (497 nucleotides) under uncultured bacterium. RNAcentral's name for it is "partial 16S ribosomal RNA". It matches the Rfam family "Bacterial small subunit ribosomal RNA", at positions 28 to 507 of the family's 1533-position model. The record is from RNAcentral.